CGUGGAUGGAAGUAAGCCCCGGAUCAGAGGGUACCUUGCAGAGCACUGUCACAACACUUUUUAGCAGAAACUAUCGAUUUUUAAUUUUUUUAUUUUUUAAUUACAGCCUACAUUUAACAGUAUUUUGUUUUAGUUUCAGGUGUACAGCAUAGUGGUUAGACAAUCGUAUCCUGUACAAAGUGUUCCCUCGAUACUUCUAGUACCCACCUGGCACCAUACAUAAAUAUUAGAAUAUUAUUGACUGUACUUCCUGUGACUACCAAAUUGUACUUCUUAAUCCCUUCAACAUUUUCACCCAGCCCCCACCCGCCUCCCCUCUGUCAGUCAUCAGCCUGUUCUCCCUGUCUGUGAGUCUGUUUCAAUUUUGUUUAUUUUGCUCUUUAUAUUCCACAUAUAAGUGAAAUCAUAUGGUAUCCGUCUUUCUCUGUCUAAAUUAUUUCAUUUAGCAUAACAUCCUCUAGGUCCAAUACUGCAGACAAAACAAACGGGGGUUUUCAGUGAGGACUGGGGAGCAUUCCUUUCUUCAAACUUCUCUGUGCUUGUAGAACGGGUGCUCUGCUCCUUUGGGACCCUCCAUCCAUGCUGUAGCAAAUGAGCAGCUGCUUCCUUUACACAUCCACAGAGAAUCCACCAAAUGACUCCCACAAUGCAUUUAGCUGGUCCCCUGCUGGUAGGCCUUCCAGGCUUUUGCAUUUACAAUGCAUAUCCUCCUGCAAACAUCAUUUACCACACUUGUGACACGUGUGAGGAAGACAGUCCCAGAAGAUAUAUUUGAAGAAGAAGAAGAUCCUGGAUGGCAAGUGAGCUUAUCUUCAUUAGUCUUUAGGGGAAUGCAAACAGAAACCAUGGUCAGCAGCCACUACACACCUAUAGAAUGAGCUAACAGUAAAAAGACUGACAAUUCCAAGCAUGGGACAUGAUAUGUAAAAGCUGGAACUCUCACAUUGCUGGUGGUAAUGCCAAAUGGCCAACCACCCUGGUAAGCAGCUUGUUAGUCUCAUAAAAUCAAAUAUACACCCACCUACAACCCAGCCCUUCCCCUCCCAAGAGAAAUAAAAAACACACCAAAAAACCUGUAUGCAAAUAUUUAUAGAAUUACUCAUUAUAACUAAAACAAAGAACUUGAAAGUCUAUGAAUCUGAAAAACCAAUUGUGGAACACUGACCUGUGGAAUACUUCUCAGCAACAAAAAAGAAAUAACUACAGAAAGAGGCAACAACGUGGGUAAGUCUCAAGUGCAUUAUGCCAAGUCCAAGAAGCCAGACUGAAAAGGCAGCAUUCAGUACGAGUCCAUUUGUGUGCCAUUCUGGAAAAGGCAAAACCACAGUUACACAAAACAGAUACAGAAGGGAAGGAGAGAGGCCCAGAGGACCAGCUUCACUCCCCACUCGAUGUGCAGCUCAGCCCAUUUCUCCUCUCUGGGCCUCAGUCUCCAGCUCUGUAAUGUGACCUGUAAUAGAACCGCCCUCACUGAGCUCUGUGAGGAAAGAGGGGAACCAAAGGGGGCAAGUGCUAACUACGGUCUCAUCCCCACCAGCCCAAACACCCACUCACACUGGGUGAAGAGAACAAAUUCGGAAGGUAAACCAGUGGGAAAAGGGGCACACUCUCCUUUGCUUUGGGCCUCAGUUUCCCUAUCUUGCAGUGUGAGUGAAUUGGGCUAAAUGACAGCUGGCAAACUCGGAGCCAUUUCUAGCCCCCACAUACAUUUCGUUUUACCCCAUGAUUGCUUUCUCCCUACCCCUUUCCCCAGUUUUUAUUAUGAAAAAUUUCAAGCACAUAAGCAACUGAAGCCUGAGACGACCAUCGUCCACACUUGACCCCUCUGCUCGCUCGCUCUGCUUCUCUCUCUCCCCAUGUAGACAUAUAUUGUUUUCUGAAUCGUUUAAGGUAAGUUACUGACAUCAUAAUCUUUUGCUCCUAACCCUUCAGCAUGUAUCGCCUGAGAACAAGACUUUCUCCUUGUAAGCAUGAUACGGUUAUCCUACCGAAGAAAAAAGCAGUAAUUCCAGACAUCUAAUACAUGGUCCACAUUCAGGUACCCAACCAGCUCCAAAAUGUCGUAUAGGCUAAAUUUUUUUGAAUCAGUUUCAUUUUAUCUCUUUUUCCCUCAGUUUUUAUUUUGAAAAAAUUUAGAUCUCCAGAAAAAUGGCCCAAACCCUGCCAUGAAUAUGCAUAUGAACUUUAUCUGGACCCAUCAACUGUUAACAGUUUGCCAGAUCCUCUCUCUUUCUCCCCUAACCAUUGAAGAGUUAGUGGCAGACACACAUAAUUGUGUUUUUUAAUCAGUUGCCAUCACUUCAAUAUCAGAAGACCUCACUUUAUUCUUUUAUUUCCAGCUCCUAUUGAAAUAGCUCCUGUUCAGAGAACCCAGAACAGGUCUCCAAUAUGGAACAGUCAGCUGGAGUGAGCAGCAGCCCCCCCUUUGGACAGGCGGUUAAUCUCCACUUUGCCACACCCACACUGCUCCCUGUUGUCUGAUACCCUGCCUG
Miniopterus natalensis is the source of this 2492-nucleotide long non-coding RNA. RefSeq lists it as uncharacterized. Lineage: Eukaryota; Metazoa; Chordata; Mammalia; Chiroptera; Miniopteridae. The record is from RefSeq and is a predicted model, not a curated record.